This is a non-coding RNA of Octopus bimaculoides (California two-spot octopus), 72 nucleotides long. NCBI's taxonomy places the organism in Eukaryota, Metazoa, Mollusca, Cephalopoda, Octopoda, Octopodidae. The record is from Rfam.
AGCAGUUUAACUUAAUGGUAAAGCAUUUGACCGGAAAUCAAAACGAUGUGAGUUCGAUUCUCAUGGCUGGUU